Molecule: transfer RNA, 73 nt
Filed under: Prochloron sp. SP5CPC1
Lineage: Bacteria; Bacillati; Cyanobacteriota; Cyanophyceae; Chroococcales; Prochloraceae
Description: tRNA-Trp
Rfam family: tRNA
About the family: Transfer RNA (tRNA) molecules are approximately 80 nucleotides in length. Their secondary structure includes four short double-helical elements and three loops (D, anti-codon, and T loops).
Source: RNAcentral
GCGCUCUUAGUUCAGUUGGUAGAACGCUGGUCUCCAAAACCAGUUGUCAGGGGUUCGAGUCCUCUAGAGCGCG